CGCACCAAACCCCCCGGGUACCACGCGCGGGCGGCCAGGGGCGGCGUCGCAAGAUGGCGGCGGCGUCCACGAGGAGGCCGCUGCGCCCGCCGUGCGACGACCGUGGACGACCUCGACGACGCUCUCCUCACGCGCGUCCUCGUCCGCCUCGCGUCGCCGCACUGGUUCAUCCGCGCGGCGGCAACCUGCAAGCGGUGGCGCCGCAUCAUCGGCGCCGGCGGCGGCUCCCCCUGCCGUGCGGUCGAGUUCCACCGCCGCGGCCGCAACCCCAUCGUCGGCCACUACUACUACCCCGGACGCGGCAGCGGCGGCGCACCGGAUGCCCGUACCCACUCUCAAGGUGGGCCCUGGCCCUGCGACCGCCCACGGAGCCGCUGGCGUCGCGCGGGCAGGGCCACCGGCGUGCACAUCUCCGGCGCGGAGUCCGUCAACUUCGUGGGGCGUGCAUCGGGCAGCUUCUACUGGCGGAUGGACGACGACGACGACCGCAUGCUUGUUCAUAGUUGUUCCACUUACAGUUACAGCACGUUCUCGCGGGUGGCGCUUCCGGAGGUGAUGAAGGGCGCCCGGCGGCGCGACGACGGCACGUCGUCGGCGUUCCGGGUCGUCGCCGGCGCCGAUGGCGACGUGCGCAUUGUCUGGUUGAUGAGCGGCGUCCUCUCGGUCUUCGCCCGUCGCAGGGAGCAGUGGUGGAUGGAGAAGCGCCUCCAGCUACCGGCGCACACUGCGCCGGAGAGCUUCAUCAUCGGCGGUAAUAAUGUGGUGAUCGCCGACGCCGGAGCAGGACGCCUCCUCCUGGCGCCGGCGGAGGAGGACAAGCGGCGGCGGGUGAUCUCCGUCGAGCUCGCCACCAUGAAGAUCGAUGAGCCCAAGCACCACGCCGGUGGUGUAGUGACGUAUCCGUACGAGCUGCCAUGGCCGGUGACCUUGAAGGCGUGUUUCUUGAGCAAAUGGAGCCGUUAUGAAGGAUGGGGGUGCGUUUGA
RNAcentral lists this long non-coding RNA (984 nucleotides) under Oryza sativa aus subgroup. RNAcentral's name for it is "lncRNA OsNaBo_09g0005840". The record is from RNAcentral. Lineage: Eukaryota; Viridiplantae; Streptophyta; Magnoliopsida; Poales; Poaceae.